RNAcentral lists this ribosomal RNA (579 nucleotides) under Lactiplantibacillus plantarum. RNAcentral's name for it is "bacterial SSU rRNA". It matches the Rfam family "Bacterial small subunit ribosomal RNA", at positions 371 to 942 of the family's 1533-position model. Lineage: Bacteria; Bacillati; Bacillota; Bacilli; Lactobacillales; Lactobacillaceae. The record is from RNAcentral.
AUGGACGAAAGUCUGAUGGAGCACGCCGCGUGAGUGAAGAAGGGUUUCGGCUCGUAAAACUCUGUUGUUAAAGAAGAACAUAUCUGAGAGUAGCUGUUCAGGUAUUGACGGUAUUUAACCAGAAAGCCACGGCUAACUACGUGCCAGCAGCCGCGGUAAUACGUAGGUGGCAAGCGUUGUCCGGAUUUAUUGGGCGUAAAGCGAGCGCAGGCGGUUUUUUAAGUCUGAUGUGAAAGCCUUCGGCUUAACCGAAGAAGUGCAUCGGAAACUGGGAAACUUGAGUGCAGAAGAGGACAGUGGAACUCCAUGUGUAGCGGUGAAAUGCGUAGAUAUAUGGAAGAACACCAGUGGCGAAGGCGGCUGUCUGGUCUGUAACUGACGCUGAGGCUCGAAAGUAUGGGUAGCAAACAGGAUUAGAUACCCUGGUAGUCCAUACCGUAAACGAUGAAUGCUAAGUGUUGGAAGGUUUCCGCCCUUCAGUGCUGCAGCUAACGCAUUAAGCAUUCCGCCUGGGGAGUACGGCCGCAAGGCUGAAACUCAAAGGAAUUGACGGGGGCCCGCACAAGCGGUGGAGCAUGU